AGGCACAAAUGGGGUCUGGGCACCUCCAGGUGGGAUUUGGGAGACACAGGUGGAAUUUGAGAAGCCCAAGUGGGGUCUGGGCAGCCCCAGGUUGGAUUUGGACAACUCCAGGUGAAAUUUGGGAAGCCCAGAUGGGGUCUGGGCACCUCCAAGUUGGAUUUGAACACCCCCAGGUGGAAUUUGGGAAGGCCAGAUGGGGUCUGGGCACCUCCAGGUUGAAUCUGGAACAUCCCAGGUGGAAUUUUGGAAACCCAGGUGGGAUUUGGGAAGGCCAGAUGGGGUUUGGGCAGCCCCAGGUUGGAUUUGGACAACUCCAGGUGGAAUUUGGGAAGCCCAGGUUGGAUUUGGACACCCCCAGGUGGAAUUUGGGAAGGCCAGAUGGGGUUUGGGCACCUCCAGGUUCAAUUUGUGCACCUCCAGGUGGAAUUUGAGAGGCUCAGGUGGAAUUUGGGCAGCCCCAGGUUGGAUUUGGACAACUCCAGGUGAAAUUUGGGAAGCCCAGGUGGGGUUUGGGCACCUCCAAGUUGGAUUUGGGAGGCUCAGGUGGGAUUUGAGCAGCUCCGAGUUGGAUUUAGGAAGCCCAGGUGAGGUCUGGAAGACUCAGGUGGAGUUUGGGCACCUCCAGGUUGGAUUUGGACACCCCCAGGUGGAAUUUGGGAAACCCAGAUGGGGUCUGGGCACCUCCAGGUUGAAUUUGGAACAUCCCAGGUGGAAUUUGAGAAGCCCAGGUGGGGUUUGGGCACCUCCAGGUUGAAUUUGGAACAUCCCAGGUGGAAUUUUGGAAACCCAGGUGGGAUUUGGGAAGCCCAGGUGGGGUUUGGGCACCUCCAAGUUGGAUUUGGACAACUCCAGGUGGAAUUUGGGAAGCCCAGGUGGGGUUUGGGCUGCUCCAAAUGGGAUUUGGACACCCCCAGGUGGAAUUUGGGAAGCCCAGAUGGGGUCUGGGCACCUCCAGGUUGAAUUUGGAACAUCCCAGGUGGAAUUUGAGAGGCUCAGGUGGAAUUUGGGAAGCCCAGGUUGGAUUUGGACAACUCCAGGUGAAAUNAUGGAAACCCCACAGACCUGUAGGCGAUGUUGAGGGCCAGGGGCUGCCGGGUGGGGUUGUUCAUCACGGCGUAGUGACCCUGCAGAGGGAAUGGAGAGGAAUUAGGAGAUUCCCAGAAUCCCAGCUCCUGUUGGGAUCAGGAUCAGGAUCAGGAUCAGGAUCAGGAUCAGGAUCAGGAUCAGAAGGUGGCCCCACCAGCAGGUCCAGGAUCCAGGGGGUGAGCGGUUCGAAGCCAGGGAAGCGAAUCCUCAGGUCCUUGAGCAGCCGGAUCAGAACCUUCACCCUGGAGAGAGGCAGGAGCAGCUCAGGCCCACACCAGGAACUGCUCUGGGAUCUUGGGAAUGGGAUUGGGGUCCAGAUCGAGGAUCUGGACCCAGAAUCAGCAUCUGGAUCCAGAAUCAGCAUCUGGACCCAGAAUCAGCAUCUGGAUCCAGAAUCAGCAUCUGGAUCCAGAACAAGGGUUUGUAUCUAGAACCGGGUUUAGGAUCUAGAACCAGGAUUUGGAUCCAGAAGGAGAAUCUGGAUUCAGACCCACGUUGAGAAUCUGGACCCAGAACUAAGAUCUGCACUCAACAGGAGGGUUCAGACCCACACUGAGAAUUCAGAUCCAGGAGGAUCCGGACCCAGAUUGAUGAUCUGGACCCAGAAGGUGGAUCUCGACCCAGAACUAUGAUUUGGAUCCAGAAGGAGAAUUGAAGAUUCAGACCCAGAACUAAGAUCUGGACCCAGAUUGAGGAUUCAGACCCAGAAGGAGAAUCUUAAUCCAGAUUGAGGAUCUUAAUCCAGACUGAGGAUCUGGACCCAGAACAAUGAUCUGGACCCAGAAUCAGCAUCUGGAUCCAGAACAAGGAUUGGUAUCUAGAACCGGAUUUAGGAUCUAGAACCAGGUUUAGGAUCUAGAACCAGGAUUUGGAUCCAGAAGGAGAAUCUGGAUUCAGACCCACAUUGAGAAUCUGGACCCAGAACUAAGAUCUGAACCCAGAAGGAGGAUCUGUAACCAGACUGAGGAUCUGGACCCAGAUUGAAGAUUUGGAUCCAGAACGAGGAUCCAGAUCCAGAAUGAAGAUCUGGACCCAGAACUAAGAUCUGGACCCAGAUUGAGGAUUCAGACCCAGAAGGAGAAUCUUAAUCCAGAUUGAGGAUCUGGACCCAGACUGAAGAUCUGAACCCAGACUGAGGAUCUGGACCCAGAUUUAGGAUUUGGAUCCAGACUGAGGAUUCAGACCCAAAAUGAGGAUCCGGACCCAGAUUGAGGAUCUGGACCCCAGACUGAGGAUUCAGACCCAGACUGAGGAUUCAGACCCUGAUUAAGGAUCUGGACCCAGAAUGAGAAUCCAGAUCCAGAAGGAAAAUCUAUACCCAGACUGAGGAUCUGGACCCAGAAUAAAGAUUUGGACUCACAUUGAGGAUUCA
This 2458-nucleotide long non-coding RNA is filed under the name Zonotrichia albicollis (white-throated sparrow). RNAcentral describes it as "lncRNA (ENSZALG00000000950.1)". The record is from RNAcentral. Lineage: Eukaryota; Metazoa; Chordata; Aves; Passeriformes; Passerellidae.